GAUGAACGCUGGCGGCGUGCCUAAUACAUGCAAGUCGAGCGAACGGACGAGAAGCUUGCUUCUCUGAUGUUAGCGGCGGACGGGUGAGUAACACGUGGAUAACCUACCUAUAAGACUGGGAUAACUUCGGGAAACCGGAUCUAAUACCGUAUAAUAUUUUGAACCGCAUGGUUCAAAAGUGAAAGACGGUCUUUCUGUCACUUAUAGAUGGAUCCGCGCUGCAUUAGCUAGUUGGUAAGGUAACGGCUUACCAAGGCAACGAUGCAUAGCCGACCUGAGAGGGUGAUAGGCCACAAUGGAACUGAGACACGGUCCAGAGUACUACGGGAGGCAGCAGUAGGGAAUCUUCCGCAAUGGGCGAAAGCCUGGCGGAGCAACGCCGCGUGAGUGAUGAAGGUCUUCGGAUCGUAAAACUCUGUUAUUAGGGAAGAACAUAUGUGUAAGUAACUGUGCACAUCUUGACGGUACCUAAUCAGAAAGCCACGGCUAACUACGUG
This 497-nucleotide ribosomal RNA is filed under the name uncultured bacterium. RNAcentral describes it as "partial 16S ribosomal RNA". It matches the Rfam family "Bacterial small subunit ribosomal RNA", at positions 28 to 507 of the family's 1533-position model. The record is from RNAcentral.